ACGAACGCUGGCGGCGUGGUUUAGGCAUGCAAGUCGAGCGCGAAAACCCCGCAAGGGGUCGUAGAGCGGCGUAAGGGUGAGUAAUGCAUAGGUAACCUACCCCUCGAACCGGGAUAGCCACGGGAAACUGUGGGUAAUACCGGAUGGCCCCCGGGGACGGCAUCGUCUCCGAGGUAAACGGUCGGCUUUCGGGCCCUCUGUCGAGGGAGGGGCUUAUGUCCUAUUAACUAGUUGGUAGGGUGACGGCCUACCAAGGCUGUGAUGGGUAGCCGGACUGAGAGGUUGGCCGGCCACACUGGGACUGAGACACUGCCCAGACUCCUACGGGAGGCUGCAGUCGAGAAUCUUCCGCAAUGGGCGCAAGCCUGACGGGGCGACGCCGCGUGCAUGAAGAAGGCCUUCGGGUUGUAAAGUGCUGUCGCUUGGUACGAAUGUCACGGUCUGAAUAGGGCUCGUGAUUGACGUUACCUUGGGAGGAAGCUCUUGCUAACUCUGUGCCAGCAGCAGCGGUAAUACAGAGAGAGCUAGCGUUGUUCGGAAUCACUGGGCACAAAGCGCACGUAGGCGGGCUCGUAAGUCGGUAGUGAAAUCCUCCGGCUCAACCGGAGAACUGCUUCCGAUACUGCGGGUCUUGAGGACGGGAGGGGAGAGUGGAACUUCCAGUGGAGCGGUGAAAUGCGUAGAUAUUGGAAGGAACACCGGUGGCGAAAGCGACUCUCUGGUCCGUCCCUGACGCUGAGGUGCGAAAGCUAGGGUAGCAAACGGGAUUAGAUACCCCGGUAGUCCUAGCCCUAAACGAUGGGCACUAAGUAGGGGAGGUUCCGAUGCCUUCCUUGCCGGAGCAAAUGUAUUAAGUGCCCCGCCUGGGGAGUAUGGUCGCAAGGCUAAAACUCAAAGGAAUUGACGGGGGCUCACACAAGCGGUGGAGCAUGUGGUUCAAUUCGAAGCAACGCAAAAAACCUUACCUGGGUUUGACAUGUCGGUGGUAGGAAACCGAAAGGGGCCCGACCCCGCAAGGGGAGCCGACACAGGUGCUGCAUGGCUGUCGUCAGCUCGUGUCGUGAGAUGUUGGGUUAAGUCCCGCAACGAGCGCAACCCUCGCCCCUAGUUGCCAACGGGUCAUGCCGGGAACUCUAGGGGGACUGCCCCGGUUAACGGGGAGGAAGGUGGGGAUGACGUCAAGUCAUCAUGGCCUUUAUGUCCAGGGCUACACACGUGCUACAAUGGCCGGUACAAAGGGUUGCAAACGCGCGAGCGGAAGCUAAUCCCAAAAAGCCGGUCCCAGUUGGGAUCGCAGUCUGCAACUCGACUGCGUGAACGCGGAAUCGCUAGUAAUCGCGAAUCAGCAGGUCGCGGUGAUACGUUCCCGGUCCUACUCACCGC
Molecule: ribosomal RNA, 1383 nt
Filed under: uncultured bacterium
Lineage: Bacteria
Description: 16S ribosomal RNA
Rfam family: Bacterial small subunit ribosomal RNA
Source: RNAcentral